CUUGGGCAGGGGCUCGGACGGUCCCUUCUUCAGGUUGUUCAGCUCCUUCUUCAGUUGCAGCUUCCUCGCCACGCUUCUUGCCUUGUAGAUCUUCUCCAGGGUGUCCCAUGCUUCCUUGGCAGUCAUGCAUGCGUCCAGCGUUGUCAGGUGGUGGUCCUUGACGUUGAGGCAGAUGAGAGCCAGCGCCUUCUGGUCCACAGAAGCUUCGGCCGUCUCGUCUCCAGUCGUUGUCUUCCACAGGCCCUUGUGGAUGAGC
Molecule: long non-coding RNA, 256 nt
Filed under: Dunaliella salina
Lineage: Eukaryota; Viridiplantae; Chlorophyta; Chlorophyceae; Chlamydomonadales; Dunaliellaceae
Description: long non-coding RNA (DSAL_LNC000018)
Source: RNAcentral